AUUGAACGCUGGCGGCAGGCCUAACACACGCAAGUCGAGCGGAUGAAGGGAGCUUGCUCCUGGAUUCAGCGGCGGACGGGUGAGUAAUGCCUAGGAAUCUGCCUGGUAGUGGGGGAUAACGUCCGGAAACGGGCGCUAAUACCGCAUACGUCCUGAGGGAGAAAGUGGGGGAUCUUCGGACCUCACGCUAUCAGAUGAGCCUAGGUCGGAUUAGCUAGUUGGUGGGGUAAAGGCCUACCAAGGUGACGAUCCGUAACUGGUCUGAGAGGAUGAUCAGUCACACUGGAACUGAGACACGGUCCAGACUCCUACGGGAGGCAGCAGUGGGGAAUAUUGGACAAUGGGCGAAAGCCUGAUCCAGCCAUGCCGCGUGUGUGAAGAAGGUCUUCGGAUUGUAAAGCACUUUAAGUUGGGAGGAAGGGCAGUAAGUUAAUACCUUGCUGUUUUGACGUUACCAACAGAAUAAGCACCGGCUAACUUCGUG
RNAcentral lists this ribosomal RNA (484 nucleotides) under uncultured bacterium. RNAcentral describes it as "partial 16S ribosomal RNA". It matches the Rfam family "Bacterial small subunit ribosomal RNA", at positions 30 to 507 of the family's 1533-position model. The record is from RNAcentral.